AGCUUGUAAUAUCUAGCAACCAAAGAUGCGCGACGAAGUUAUUGAAUUCCAGUUGAGAAGCGAAUGACGGACCGACCCUGCAUUAGGCCACAUACGAUCGACCAUCUUCCAGAAUAUGAACUAUAUCCGUCGACGGACAACAACCACUGUUGAAAGUACGAUAUAUAACUGCUAGAUACAACGAAAAAAAACAAAGGUAUCUUGUUCGAUAAUGUGACGAAGACGGGUUCUGGACUCUACUUAUACAUCAAUAUUUCUUUAAAAAGUAUGUUACCAUUAAAAGUCAAGAAAGUUACAUCCCCACCUCUCCCCACUUAUUAUAGGACAGAUGUGGCAAAGAGUGGAAUAUUUUAUGAAGCAAAGACAAGACAGAAGACAAGGUUGAUGGAUGCCAUUGUUUAUAAUGCCCAAUACUGAACUAGGAAUGAGAAAUUGAAGAACUAGAGAUGGUAGAAAGAAAAUCCUAAGGAAACUGUCAGGAUAGUAUAAAAAUUUUGGUAAUAGAAAGUGAGUGCAGCCCAGUCCUAUGUUCCAUGUACCUAAAAAUUUGUUUUGUCUUUAACAGUUACAAAAGAAAUCUGAAACAAGCUAAAGUUAAUAAAGUCAACUAACACAAUAGAA
Schistocerca gregaria is the source of this 621-nucleotide long non-coding RNA. RefSeq lists it as uncharacterized. The record is from RefSeq and is a predicted model, not a curated record. The transcript has 3 exons. NCBI's taxonomy places the organism in Eukaryota, Metazoa, Arthropoda, Insecta, Orthoptera, Acrididae.